This 45-nucleotide non-coding RNA is filed under the name Schistosoma haematobium. Lineage: Eukaryota; Metazoa; Platyhelminthes; Trematoda; Strigeidida; Schistosomatidae. RNAcentral also lists the same sequence under 1 other name. The record is from RNAcentral.
AUCCAGCUGACGAGUCUUAAAUAGAACUAAACGCGCGCCCUAGAU